This 235-nucleotide ribosomal RNA is filed under the name uncultured bacterium. Its description in RNAcentral is "partial 16S ribosomal RNA". It matches the Rfam family "Bacterial small subunit ribosomal RNA", at positions 96 to 334 of the family's 1533-position model. The record is from RNAcentral.
UGGCGGACGGGUGAGUAAUGUCUGGGAAACUGCCUGAUGGAGGGGGAUAACUACUGGAAACGGUAGCUAAUACCGCAUAACGUCGCAAGACCAAAGAGGGGGACCUUAGGGCCUCUUGCCGUCGGAUGUGCCCAGAUGGGAUUAGCUAGUAGGUGGGGUAACGGCUCACCUAGGCGACGAUCCCUAGCUGGUCUGAGAGGAUGACCAGCCACACUGGAACUGAGACACGGUCUAG